UAAUGUAUGUGCUCCCUCUAGUGGUCAAA
RNAcentral lists this non-coding RNA (29 nucleotides) under Rattus norvegicus (Norway rat). Lineage: Eukaryota; Metazoa; Chordata; Mammalia; Rodentia; Muridae. The record is from RNAcentral.